AGCGAACGCUGGCGGCGUGCCUAACACAUGCAAGUCGAACGUGAAAAGGGAAACCUGAGUAAAGUGGCGUACGGGUGAGUAACGCGUAGGUAAUCUACCCCAGAAUCUGGAAUAACCUGCCGAAAGGCGGGCUAAUACUGGAUAGAGCGAGGGAACUCGUAAGAGAGUUUUUCGGGAAAGGGAGCCCGCAAGGGCCUUCGUUCUGGGAUGAGCCUGCGUCUCAUUAGCUAGUUGGUAAGGUAACGGCUUACCAAGGCGAUGAUGAGUAGCUGGUCUGAGAGGAUGAUCAGCCACACUGGAACUGAAACACGGUCCAGACUCCUACGGGAGGCAGCAGUGGGGAAUCUUGCGCAAUGGACGAAAGUCUGACGCAGCCACGCCGCGUGAGUGAAGAAGGCCGUCGGGUUGUAAAGCUCUGUCGGAUGGGACGAACAUCUUCAUAGUGAAUAGCUAUGAGGACUGACGGUACCAGCAAAGGAAGCACCGGCUAACUCCGUG
This 498-nucleotide ribosomal RNA is filed under the name uncultured bacterium. RNAcentral's name for it is "partial 16S ribosomal RNA". It matches the Rfam family "Bacterial small subunit ribosomal RNA", at positions 29 to 507 of the family's 1533-position model. The record is from RNAcentral.